CCUACGUGAGGCUGCAGUGGGGAAUAUUGCACAAUGGGGGAAACCCUGAUGCAGCGACGCCGCGUGAAGGAAGAAGUAUUUCGGUAUGUAAACUUCUAUCAGCAGGGAAGAAAAUGACGGUACCUGACUAAGAAGCCCCGGCUCACUACGUGCCAGCAGCCGCGGUCAUACGUAGGGGGAAAGCGUUAUCCGGAUUUACUGGGUGUAAAGGGAGCGUAGGCGGUGUAGCAAGUCAGAAGUGAAAGGCUGGGGGUUAAAGCCGGGACUGCUUUUGAAACUGUUGAACUAGAUUGCAGGAGAGGUAAGUGGAAUGCCUAGUGUAGCGGUGAAAUGCGUAGAUAUUAGGAGGAACACCAGUGGCGAAGGCGGCUUACUGGACUGUAAAUGACGCUGAGGCUCGAAAGCGUGGGGAGCAAACAGGAUUAGAUACCCUUGUAGUC
This 440-nucleotide ribosomal RNA is filed under the name uncultured bacterium. RNAcentral describes it as "partial 16S ribosomal RNA". It matches the Rfam family "Bacterial small subunit ribosomal RNA", at positions 338 to 795 of the family's 1533-position model. The record is from RNAcentral.